This 200-nucleotide non-coding RNA is filed under the name Lupinus angustifolius (narrow-leaved blue lupine). Its description in RNAcentral is "rRNA LSU_rRNA_eukarya". It matches the Rfam family "Eukaryotic large subunit ribosomal RNA", at positions 1186 to 1379 of the family's 3401-position model. The record is from Rfam by way of RNAcentral. Lineage: Eukaryota; Viridiplantae; Streptophyta; Magnoliopsida; Fabales; Fabaceae.
CACCUCAAGAAAUAUGCGCGCUAACCUAGACCCCACAAAGGGUGCUGAUCGAUUAAGACAGCAGGACAGUGGUCAUGGAAGUCAAAAUCCGCUAAGGAGUGUCUAACAACUCACCUGCCGAAUCAACUAGCCCCGAAAAUAGAUGGCGCUAAAGCGCGCGACCUAUACCCGGCCGUCGGGGCAAGGGCCAGGCCCCGAUG